AUUGUGUAGAACCAGAGCUCUCGUUUCAAUUCAAUGAUGGCCAGUAUGAGUCAGCUGCUCAACUUCAUUCGAGGGCACAACAGAUCUGUGCUGUUCUCUAUCCUGGUGAUGCUACAGAAGAGGGAAAGCUUCUGAGAUUAAAGCAGCAGUUUUUCCUGUGCAGCGCAUCACUUCAGGAUAUUAUUUUCAGAUUUAAAGAAAGGAAACCUGACAGAGUUUCAGGGAAGUG
This is a long non-coding RNA of Lolium rigidum, 229 nucleotides long. RefSeq lists it as uncharacterized. Lineage: Eukaryota; Viridiplantae; Streptophyta; Magnoliopsida; Poales; Poaceae. The transcript is spliced from 3 exons. The record is from RefSeq and is a predicted model, not a curated record.